RNAcentral lists this ribosomal RNA (382 nucleotides) under uncultured bacterium. Its description in RNAcentral is "bacterial SSU rRNA". It matches the Rfam family "Bacterial small subunit ribosomal RNA", at positions 28 to 402 of the family's 1533-position model. The record is from RNAcentral.
GACGAACGCUGGCGGCGUGCUUAACACAUGCAAGUGGAGCGACGAACCGGGGCUUGCCCCGGGGCAGAGCCGCGAACGGGUGAGUAACACGUGGGUAACCCACCCCGAUGACCGGGACAACCCGAGGAAACUCGGGCUAAUACCGGAUGUGCUCCUUGACCUCGAGGUCAAGGCGUAAAGAUAGCUUCGGCCUUCGCAUCGGGACGGGCCCGCGGCCCGAUUAGCUUGUUGGUGGGGUAAAGGCCUACCAAGGCGACGAUGGGUAGCUGGUCUGAGAGGACGAUCAGCCACACUGGGACUGAGACACGGCCCAGACUCCUACGGGAGGCAGCAGUGGGGAAUCUUGCGCAAUGCGCGAAAGCGUGACGCAGCAACGCCGCGU